RNAcentral lists this ribosomal RNA (474 nucleotides) under unidentified nematode Sourhope farm. Its description in RNAcentral is "SSU rRNA". It matches the Rfam family "Eukaryotic small subunit ribosomal RNA", at positions 58 to 529 of the family's 1831-position model. The record is from RNAcentral. Lineage: Eukaryota; Metazoa; Nematoda.
UCUAAGCACAUGCCUUAAUACGGUGAAGCCGCGAAUAGCUCAUUACAACAGCCAUCGUUUAUUAGAAUAUCGUUAUCCUACUUGGAUAACUGUGGCAAUUCUAGAGCUAAUACAUGCAAUAAAGCUCCGCCCGCAAGGAACGAGCGCAUUUAUUAGAAUAAAAACCAAUCGAGUUUCGGCUCGUAAUUUGGUGAAUCUGAAUAACUUUGCCAAUCGCACAGUCCUAGUACUGGCGAUGUAUCUUUCAAGUGUCUGCCUUAUCAACUUUCGAUGGUACGCUAUACGCCUACCAUGGUAGUAACGGGUAACGGAGAAUAAGGGUUCGACUCCGGAGAGGGAGCCUGAGAAACGGCUACCACAUCCAAGGAAGGCAGCAGGCGCGCAAAUUACCCACUUCCAGAACGGAGAGGUAGUGACGAAAAAUAACGAGACAGUCCUCUUCGAGGUCUGUCAUCGGAAUGGGUACAAUUUAAA